This 754-nucleotide ribosomal RNA is filed under the name uncultured bacterium. RNAcentral's name for it is "bacterial SSU rRNA". It matches the Rfam family "Bacterial small subunit ribosomal RNA", at positions 52 to 796 of the family's 1533-position model. The record is from RNAcentral.
CACAUGCAAGUCGAGGGGCAGCAUGAACUUAGCUUGCUAAGUUUGAUGGCGACCGGCGCACGGGUGAGUAACACGUAUCCAACCUGCCGAUGACUCGGGGAUAGCCUUUCGAAAGAAAGAUUAAUACCCGAUGGCAUAGUUCUUCCGCAUGGUAGAACUAUUAAAGAAUUUCGGUUGUCGAUGGGGAUGCGUUCCAUUAGGCAGUUGGCGGGGUAACGGCCCACCAAACCAACGAUGGAUAGGGGUUCUGAGAGGAAGGUCCCCCACAUUGGAACUGAGACACGGUCCAAACUCCUACGGGAGGCAGCAGUGAGGAAUAUUGGUCAAUGGACGAGAGUCUGAACCAGCCAAGUAGCGUGAAGGAUGACUGCCCUAUGGGUUGUAAACUUCUUUUAUACGGGAAUAAAGUGAGCCACGUGUGGCUUUUUGUAUGUACCGUAUGAAUAAGGAUCGGCUAACUCCGUGCCAGCAGCCGCGGUAAUACGGAGGAUCCGAGCGUUAUCCGGAUUUAUUGGGUUUAAAGGGAGCGUAGGCGGGUUGUUAAGUCAGUUGUGAAAGUUUGCGGCUCAACCGUAAAAUUGCAGUUGAUACUGGCGACCUUGAGUGCAACAGAGGUAGGCGGAAUUCGUGGUGUAGCGGUGAAAUGCUUAGAUAUCACGAAGAACUCCGAUUGCGAAGGCAGCUUACUGGAUUGUAACUGACGCUGAUGCUCGAAAGUGUGGGUAUCAAACAGGAUUAGAUACCCUGGUAGUCC